Molecule: ribosomal RNA, 255 nt
Filed under: uncultured bacterium
Lineage: Bacteria
Description: partial 16S ribosomal RNA
Rfam family: Bacterial small subunit ribosomal RNA
Source: RNAcentral
CGGACGGGUGAGUAACGCGUGGAAAACCUGCCGUACACUGGGGGAUAACACUUAGAAAUAGGUGCUAAUACCGCAUAAGCGCACAGCUUCGCAUGAAGCGGUGUGAAAAACUCUGGUGGUAUACGAUGGUUCCGCGUCUGAUUAGCUAGUUGGUGGGGUAAUGGCCUACCAAGGCAACGAUCAGUAGCCGGCCUGAGAGGGUGAACGGCCACAUUGGGACUGAGACACGGCCCAAACUCCUACGGAAGGCAGCAG